This is a non-coding RNA of Paramuricea clavata, 301 nucleotides long. NCBI's taxonomy places the organism in Eukaryota, Metazoa, Cnidaria, Anthozoa, Malacalcyonacea, Plexauridae. The record is from the annotation of a GenBank genome assembly.
CUUUCAGUAGGCUUUUGUCGGAUUAUUUUACCGUAGGUUUGAUAACAGAGAGGUAUACUUCUACAUAUUUCUUGAGCAUCAAGUUUCAGCGAAGCCAAUGACAUGUUGGAAUGGGAAAUUUCACAGCGCUCAUUUAAUAACAGUCCGAGUAGCAUUGUUUACAUGCAAGGUUUGUUCCGUUUGUAGUUUGCGAUAUUUCAGAAACCAAAAGAUCCCUCUAUUUCGUUACAAUUCCACAUCUCAGUAUUAAAUAAAUCCUUUAGGAUAGACUUCAGCAGUUUUAAAUAACAGCAACAUCGGU